This 103-nucleotide microRNA precursor is filed under the name Marmota monax (woodchuck). The record is from RNAcentral. Lineage: Eukaryota; Metazoa; Chordata; Mammalia; Rodentia; Sciuridae.
AGUAACAUUACUGAGUCGUAUAGUAAGUCCAUUUUUGCCAUUAAAGAGAACUGCCAAACUAUUUUCCAGAGUGGCCAUACCAUUUUACAUUCCCACCAGCAAU